ACUCCUACGGGAGGCAGCAGUGGGGAAUCUUAGACAAUGGGGGAAACCCUGAUCUAGCCAUGCCGCGUGGACGAUGAAGGCCUUAGGGUUGUAAAGUCCUUUCAGCUGGGAAGAUAAUGACGGUACCAGCAGAAGAAGCCCCGGCUAACUCCGUGCCAGCAGCCGCGGUAAUACGGAGGAUCCAAGCGUUAUCCGGAAUCAUUGGGUUUAAAGGGUCCGUAGGUGGAUGAUUAAGUCAGAGGUGAAAUCCUGCAGCUCAACUGUAGAAUUGCCUUUGAUACUGGUUGUCUUGAAUUAUUGUGAAGUAGUUAGAAUAUGUGGUGUAGCGGUGAAAUGCAUAGAUAUCACAUAGAAUACCGAUUGCGAAGGCAGAUUACUAACAAUACAUUGACACUGAUGGACGAAAGCGUGGGGAGCG
RNAcentral lists this ribosomal RNA (418 nucleotides) under uncultured bacterium. Its description in RNAcentral is "bacterial SSU rRNA". It matches the Rfam family "Bacterial small subunit ribosomal RNA", at positions 335 to 770 of the family's 1533-position model. The record is from RNAcentral.